AGUGAACGCUGGCGGUAGGCCUAACACAUGCAAGUCGAACGGCAGCACAGUAAGAGCUUGCUCUUACGGGUGGCGAGUGGCGGACGGGUGAGGAAUACAUCGGAAUCUACUUUUUCGUGGGGGAUAACGUAGGGAAACUUACGCUAAUACCGCAUACGACCUACGGGUGAAAGCAGGGGAUCUUCGGACCUUGCGCGAGUGAAUGAGCCGAUGUCGGAUUAGCUAGUUGGCGGGGUAAAGGCCCACCAAGGCGACGAUCCGUAGCUGGUCUGAGAGGAUGAUCAGCCACACUGGAACUGAGACACGGUCCAGACUCCUACGGGAGGCAGCAGUGGGGAAUAUUGGACAAUGGGCGCAAGCCUGAUCCAGCCAUACCGCGUGGGUGACGAAGGCCUUCGGGUUGUAAAGCCCUUUUGUUGGGAAAGAAAAGCAGCAGGUUAAUACCCCGCUGUUCUGACGGUACCCAAAGAAUAAGCACCGGCUAACUUCGUG
RNAcentral lists this ribosomal RNA (492 nucleotides) under uncultured bacterium. RNAcentral's name for it is "partial 16S ribosomal RNA". It matches the Rfam family "Bacterial small subunit ribosomal RNA", at positions 29 to 507 of the family's 1533-position model. The record is from RNAcentral.